GGCGAGGGGAGUGAAAAAGAACCUGAAACCGUGUACGUACAAGCAGUGGGAGCACGCUUAGGCGUGUGACUGCGUACCUUUUGUAUAAUGGGUCAGCGACUUAUAUUCUGUAGCAAGGUUAACCGAAUAGGGGAGCCGAAGGGAAACCGAGUCUUAACUGGGCGUUAAGUUGCAGGGUAUAGACCCGAAACCCGGUGAUCUAGCCAUGGGCAGGUUGAAGGUUGGGUAACACUAACUGGAGGACCGAACCGACUAAUGUUGAAAAAUUAGCGGAUGACUUGUGGCUGGGGGUGAAAGGCCAAUCAAACCGGGAGAUAGCUGGUUCUCCCCGAAAGCUAUUUAGGUAGCGCCUCGUGAAUUCAUCUCCGGGGGUAGAGCACUGUUUCGGCAAGGGGGUCAUCCCGACUUACCAACCCGAUGCAAACUGCGAAUACCGGAGAAUGUUAUCACGGGAGACACACGGCGGGUGCUAACGUCCGUCGUGAAGAGGGAAACAACCCAGACCGCCAGCUAAGGUCCCAAAGUCAUGGUUAAGUGGGAAACGAUGUGGGAAGGCCCAGACAGCCAGGAUGUUGGCUUAGAAGCAGCCAUCAUUUAAAGAAAGCGUAAUAGCUCACUGGUCGAGUCGGCCUGCGCGGAAGAUGUAACGGGGCUAAACCAUGCACCGAAGCUGCGGCAGCGACGCUUAUGCGUUGUUGGGUAGGGGAGCGUUCUGUAAGCCUGUGAAGGUGUGCUGUGAGGCAUGCUGGAGGUAUCAGAAGUGCGAAUGCUGACAUAAGUAACGAUAAAGCGGGUGAAAAGCCCG
This 805-nucleotide ribosomal RNA is filed under the name Escherichia coli. RNAcentral's name for it is "partial 23S ribosomal RNA". It matches the Rfam family "Bacterial large subunit ribosomal RNA", at positions 528 to 1332 of the family's 2925-position model. Lineage: Bacteria; Pseudomonadati; Pseudomonadota; Gammaproteobacteria; Enterobacterales; Enterobacteriaceae. The record is from RNAcentral.